UGCGCGACCGGACCGAGUGCGCGAGCGGACAUGACGUGUGGCUGUCGUAAAAACCCUAUAUGUAAACAACCAGUCCUUUAACUCAGCGCUGCGUCAUAAACACGGAGCGCUUGGAAGACCACGAUGUCAUCUUCCUUCUGUCAGGUAAGUAGUUUAUUGUUUUUAAAGAUCGUUACGAUCUAGGUUUACAGUCCGAGUGCGGAGAGAGUCCGUCAAUCCACACUAUGGACGCUGUUCAUCAGCUAAUACGCCAUUGUUAGCCACAUGCUUCAGCCCACGGUAGCCUGUGCUACCUGGGAGGUGAAUACAUGGUUGUUGAAAACCAGUUCAAGACGCUUAGCUCAUCAUUGAGGGACGCUACAAUAUAAAUAUAAACAUGAAUUUUAUUUAUGAAUGCUUAAGAUUAAUAAGGAGUGUAUUUGUCUACCAUUACUCCACAAUAUCAGAUCAAUUUGGUUUAAUGUAUAGUAUGCAAUAUGACAAUGUUUUCAUGUUAUGGAGUUGCGAUUCAUUUUAUAAAACAAUUGCUAUGUUCUGUUUUUUAAUCAAGGAGGAUCAAAGUGAAGCUACAGGAGUUUCAUUAACGUCAACAACUUGGACCGAACAGUUUGUUUGCUUGAUGAAGAGCAGGAAGGGCAGCCUGGAGAGAAAGAGAAGCCGGGUUGAGCCCACUACCAUCAUCCAUGUACCACAAGGAAGAUAAGGGAGAGAAAUGAUCCUACCAUUAAAGAGACUGUGAAAAGAACGUUGAGAACAUCACCACUCUACAGGAAGACACAGUCCAGUAAUGGGUGUCAGAAGUUCAGUAGUGAACGACAGAAACAAACAAUCCAAAUUACCUGCAGAAAGCCCUUGAUGGACGCUUCAGGAGCAUCGUCAGACUGGC
Long non-coding RNA from Pleuronectes platessa (European plaice), 886 nucleotides. RefSeq lists it as uncharacterized. NCBI's taxonomy places the organism in Eukaryota, Metazoa, Chordata, Actinopteri, Pleuronectiformes, Pleuronectidae. The record is from RefSeq and is a predicted model, not a curated record. The transcript is spliced from 3 exons.